RNAcentral lists this ribosomal RNA (253 nucleotides) under uncultured bacterium. RNAcentral describes it as "partial 16S ribosomal RNA". It matches the Rfam family "Bacterial small subunit ribosomal RNA", at positions 524 to 776 of the family's 1533-position model. The record is from RNAcentral.
UACGGAGGGGGCUAGCGUUGCUCGGAAUCACUGGGCGUAAAGCGCACGUAGGCGGACUCUUAAGUCGGUGGUGAAAUCCUGGAGCUCAACUCCAGAACUGCCUUUGAUACUGAGGAUCUUGAGUUCGGGAGAGGUGAGUGGAACUGCGAGUGUAGAGGUGAAAUUCGUAGAUAUUCGCAAGAACACCAGUGGCGAAGGCGGCUCACUGGCCCGAUACUGACGCUGAGGCACGAAAGCGUGGGGAGCAAACAGG